UGGGGAAUAUUGGACAAUGGGCGCAAGCCUGAUCCAGCCAUGCCGCGUGAGUGAAGAAGGCCUUAGGGUUGUAAAACUCUUUCGCCGGGGAAGAUAAUGACGGUACCCGGAGAAGAAGCUCCGGCUAACUUCGUGCCAGCAGCCGCGGUAAUACGAAGGGAGCUAGCGUUGUUCGGAAUUACUGGGCGUAAAGCGCACGUAGGCGGACUUGUCAGUCAGGGGUGAAAUCCCAAGGCUCAACCUUGGAACUGCCUCCGAUACAGCAAGCCUAGAGAUCGGGAGAGGUGAGUGGAAUUCCUAGUGUAGAGGUGAAAUUCGUAGAUAUUAGGACGAACACCAGUGGCGAAGGCGGCUCACUGGCCCGAUACUGACGCUGAGGUGCGAAAGCGUGGGGAGCAAACAGGAUUAGAUACCCCGGUAGUCCCUGAGCGGGCUGGCAAGGCGCAU
RNAcentral lists this ribosomal RNA (447 nucleotides) under uncultured bacterium. RNAcentral describes it as "bacterial SSU rRNA". It matches the Rfam family "Bacterial small subunit ribosomal RNA", at positions 355 to 825 of the family's 1533-position model. The record is from RNAcentral.